GAAGAACAUCUCCAGAAUGUGUAAGAGAGAAUAAAAAUGGAUUAGAUCAACCAAAACACUGAAGCGGUAUGACAAGUUUCUUUUUUUAAAAUGUGCACAUCUUUAUUCCAAGCUUUGAGAUUGGUCAUGGAGUAUUUUGUCUGUUCAAAGAUGACUAAUUAUCUUUGCCAAAUUUCAACUUGCUAUCUAAUUCAUUACCAACUUAUCAUCGAUUUUAUU
RNAcentral lists this long non-coding RNA (219 nucleotides) under Trifolium pratense (red clover). RNAcentral's name for it is "long non-coding RNA (TPRA_LNC007445)". Lineage: Eukaryota; Viridiplantae; Streptophyta; Magnoliopsida; Fabales; Fabaceae. The record is from RNAcentral.